RNAcentral lists this ribosomal RNA (263 nucleotides) under uncultured Eubacteriales bacterium. RNAcentral describes it as "uncultured Clostridiales bacterium partial 16S ribosomal RNA". It matches the Rfam family "Bacterial small subunit ribosomal RNA", at positions 78 to 339 of the family's 1533-position model. Lineage: Bacteria; Bacillati; Bacillota; Clostridia; Eubacteriales. The record is from RNAcentral.
UGAAGAGCUUAGUGACUGAGCGGCGGACGGGUGAGUAACGCGUGGGUAACCUGCCUCAUACAGGGGGAUAGCAGCUGGAAACGGCUGGUAAUACCGCAUAAGCGCACAAUGUUGCAUGACAUGGUGUGAAAAACUCUGGUGGUAUAAGAUGGACCCGCGUCUGAUUAGCUAGUUGGUGAGGUAACGGCCCACCAAGGCGACGAUCAGUAGCCGACCUGAGAGGGUGAUCGGCCACAUUGGAACUGAGAGACGGUCCAAACUCC